Small nucleolar RNA from Cynocephalus volans (Philippine flying lemur), 123 nucleotides. RefSeq annotates it as small nucleolar RNA SNORA26. The transcript has a single exon. The record is from RefSeq and is a predicted model, not a curated record. Lineage: Eukaryota; Metazoa; Chordata; Mammalia; Dermoptera; Cynocephalidae.
CUGCCCUUUUAAAGUUGGCACAGUGAGUUAAGAGGCUAACACAGAAAGUGUGUGGUAAGUCUCCAUAAAACCCAGAGAAUAGAUUGUAAAAUUCCUCUUGGGAUCCUGUCCAGGGUCACCUCU